UAAAUGUUACUGUGGUUGAAUUUAAAAAAAAUAGGUGACUCUAGGACUAGCUGGUGUUCUCUGUUCUCUGGAUUGAAAACGAAAUUGUAAUAAACGAUAGGUUACUCCUUUGCCGCCAUUUCCCAUUUCAUUCCUCUUUUUUAUUUUGUUAAAAAACUGACCUGUCAGGAUCUGUCACAUUUAUCACAUUGUCAUCUUGCACAAGCGGCGAGUCAUUCAAAAUUCUAGUCUUCUCUCAAAAUCAAUAACAAUGUCUCUAAAAAGCGCUAAAGGGGUUCAAGUACAAGGGAAACCGAAGAAGGACAACAAGGGGCCAUGUCCGUGGCUCUGCAACAUGGUCCCUACGAAUGUCCCGGGGCCGGGAGCAGCUCAGUCCAUAUUGCACCCUCGGAAGGACGUGUUUGUUCUAAAGGUUGCCAAAGUGGGACCAACGGGUGAUCGUCGUUGUAAAAUGGAGCUUGAGCUAGUUACACCUAAAGGACCAGAGAAAAAACCGAUGUGUCGCAUUGACACCAGAGAGACACAGUGCGACCCUGAACCCCCACCAUGCUGCUGCAUGAAACCCAAAAAGAAGAGAAAGUGAAAUGCUCUACUAAUGUUAAGAAUAACCCAAAACCCCUAGGCCGAAAUGAAGUGAUUCCGAUGUAUAGUAACAUAAAAUAUAUGAAUAUAAAUUAACACCA
This is a long non-coding RNA of Ostrinia nubilalis (European corn borer), 683 nucleotides long. RefSeq lists it as uncharacterized. The transcript has 2 exons. The record is from RefSeq and is a predicted model, not a curated record. NCBI's taxonomy places the organism in Eukaryota, Metazoa, Arthropoda, Insecta, Lepidoptera, Crambidae.